GAAGAUUUAGUUAAUAAAUAACAUUAGAUUGUCAAACUAAAAUUAUCAAGUAAGGUAUUCUUCU
RNAcentral lists this transfer RNA (64 nucleotides) under Rhabdoblatta marginata. RNAcentral's name for it is "tRNA-Asp". Lineage: Eukaryota; Metazoa; Arthropoda; Insecta; Blattodea; Blaberidae. The record is from RNAcentral.